RNAcentral lists this transfer RNA (73 nucleotides) under Proteus vulgaris. Its description in RNAcentral is "tRNA-Ala". It matches the Rfam family "tRNA". From Rfam's summary of the family: Transfer RNA (tRNA) molecules are approximately 80 nucleotides in length. Their secondary structure includes four short double-helical elements and three loops (D, anti-codon, and T loops). Lineage: Bacteria; Pseudomonadati; Pseudomonadota; Gammaproteobacteria; Enterobacterales; Morganellaceae. The record is from RNAcentral.
GGGGCUAUAGCUCAGCUGGGAGAGCGCCUGCCUUGCACGCAGGAGGUCAGCGGUUCGAUCCCUCUUAGCUCCA